UUGAAAUAAAUCUGAUAGGUUGUUGCUGGUUCUCUCGGGAGCAUGUGCACACUUGUCAUCUUUAUAUCUCCACCUGUGCACCUUUUGUAAAUCUUGAAUAUCUCUCUGAAUGCUUGCCAUUCAGGUUUUGAGGAUUGAUCUUUUUCUUUCCUCACAUUUUCAGGUUUAUGUUUUUCAUAUACCCCAAGUAUGUUAUAGAAUGUUAUAAAACGGGCCUUUGUGCCUAUAAAUUUUAUA
RNAcentral lists this unclassified non-coding RNA (237 nucleotides) under uncultured Cortinarius. RNAcentral's name for it is "sequence contains ITS1". Lineage: Eukaryota; Fungi; Basidiomycota; Agaricomycetes; Agaricales; Cortinariaceae. The record is from RNAcentral.